AGAGUUUGAUCCUGGCUCAGGAUGAACGCUGGCGGCGUGCUUAACACAUGCAAGUCGAACGAAGAUACUUAAAAUGAGAGCUUCGGCAGGAUUUUUAUUUAUCUUAGUGGCGGACGGGUGAGUAACGCGUGGGCAACCUGCCCUAUACUGGGGAAUAAUCACUGGAAACGGUGACUAAUACCGCAUGUCAUUACGGAAGGGCAUCCUUCUGUAAGAAAAGGAGUAAUUCGGUAUAGGAUGGGCCCGCAUCUGAUUAGCUAGUUGGUGAGAUAACAGCCCACCAAGGCGACGAUCAGUAGCCGACCUGAGAGGGUGAUCGGCCACAUUGGGACUGAGACACGGCCCAAACUCCUACGGGAGGCAGCAGUGGGGAAUAUUGCACAAUGGGGGAAACCCUGAUGCAGCAACGCCGCGUGAAGGAAGAAGGUUUUCGGUAUCGUAAACUUCUAUCAACAGGGACGAAGAAAGUGACGGUACCUGAAUAAGAAGCCCCGGCUAACUACGUGCCAGCAGCCGCGGUAAUACGUAGGGGGCAAGCGUUAUCCGGAAUUACUGGGUGUAAAGGGAGCGUAGGCGGCACGCCAAGCCAGAUGUGAAAGCCCGAGGCUUAACCUCGGGAUUGCAUUUGGAACUGGCGAGCUAGAGUACAGGAGAGGAAAGCGGAAUUCCUAGUGUAGCGGUGAAAUGCGUAGAUAUUAGGAAGAACACCAGUGGCGAAGGCGGCUUUCUGGACUGAAACUGACGCUGAGGCUCGAAAGCGUGGGGAGCAAACAGGAUUAGAUACCCUGGUAGUCCACGCCGUAAACGAUGAGUGCUAGGUGUCGGGGAGGAAUCCUCGGUGCCGCAGCUAACGCAAUAAGCACUCCACCUGGGGAGUACGACCGCAAGGUUGAAACUCAAAGGA
This 904-nucleotide ribosomal RNA is filed under the name human gut metagenome. RNAcentral's name for it is "bacterial SSU rRNA". It matches the Rfam family "Bacterial small subunit ribosomal RNA", at positions 8 to 908 of the family's 1533-position model. The record is from RNAcentral.